Molecule: ribosomal RNA, 253 nt
Filed under: uncultured microorganism
Description: partial 16S ribosomal RNA
Rfam family: Bacterial small subunit ribosomal RNA
Source: RNAcentral
UACGGAGGUGGCGAGCGUUGCUCGGAAUUACUGGGCGUAAAGGGUGCGUAGGCGGCCAUAUAAGUCAUCCGUGAAAGCCCUCCGCUCAACGGAGGAAUUGCGGAUGAAACUGUAUGGCUUGAGGCCAGGAGAGGGAGGUGGAAUUCCCGGUGUAGCGGUGAAAUGCGUGGAUAUCGGGAGGAACACCAGUGGCGAAGGCGGCCUCCUGGACUGGCCCUGACGCUGAGGCACGAAAGCUGGGGGAGCAAACAGG